This 131-nucleotide microRNA precursor is filed under the name Oryza barthii. RNAcentral describes it as "MIR812 microRNA precursor family". It matches the Rfam family "MIR812 microRNA precursor family". The record is from Rfam by way of RNAcentral. Lineage: Eukaryota; Viridiplantae; Streptophyta; Magnoliopsida; Poales; Poaceae.
UGUAUGUGCAGCUAUGAGUUUCUGUCUCCAACUUUGAUCGUCAAAUAUUUUUGUUGUUAUUAGAUAAUAAAACAUAAAAAGAUAAAACGUACGAUUAAAGUUGAACAUAGAAACUCAUGGUUACACUUAAA